RNAcentral lists this ribosomal RNA (328 nucleotides) under uncultured bacterium. Its description in RNAcentral is "bacterial SSU rRNA". It matches the Rfam family "Bacterial small subunit ribosomal RNA", at positions 30 to 355 of the family's 1533-position model. The record is from RNAcentral.
AUUGAACGCUGGCGGCAUGCCUUACACAUGCAAGUCGAACGGCAGCGGACCUUCGGGUGCCGGCGAGUGGCGAACGGGUGAGUAAUAUAUCGGAACGUACCUUUCAGUGGGGGGAGUAACGUAGCGAAAGUUACGCUAAUACCGCAUAUUCUGUGAGCAAGGAAAGCGAGGGGAUCGCAAGACCUUGCGCUGAUUGAGCGGCCGAUAUCAGAUUAGCUAGUUGGUGAGGUAAAGGCUCACCAAGGCGACGAUCUGUAGCGGGUCUGAGAGGAUGAUCCGCCACACUGGAACUGAGACACGGUCCAGACUCCUACGGGAGGCAGCAGGU